Medicago truncatula (barrel medic) is the source of this 571-nucleotide long non-coding RNA. RefSeq lists it as uncharacterized. The record is from RefSeq and is a predicted model, not a curated record. The transcript is spliced from 2 exons. NCBI's taxonomy places the organism in Eukaryota, Viridiplantae, Streptophyta, Magnoliopsida, Fabales, Fabaceae.
GGUGUUUGUUUGAGGGUAGUAAAAAUAAUUUCAAGGAAUCUAAGGUUGGAAUUAAACAUUCCUUUGUUUGGUAGGUGGGAACCACACAAAUAUGUCCAGGAAUGCAAUUUUCCCAGGAAAGCCAUCUACCCACGUUUUCCCCCAUUUCUUCCCCACGUUCACCCUUUGUUCCAUCCCUUUUAUUCCCAUGAGAUAGCUUGGGAAAGUUUUAUUCCCAGGAAAUGGAAACCCAUGAUCUUGAAUAAAAUACCAUAUUUUCCCUUGCCAUUCCCGCUAAAUUUUUCUCUGUUAUUCCCGCUAAUUUUUUCACCCAUGAUCUUUGUAGUGUUCAUCAACUGCUUGUUGUUUGAGUUUUGGAUUUCACUCUUCUCUUCAAGGAACAAGAUUUCCAGCUUUUGGAUCCGAGCUUUUCUCAAGCUUCUGAUUUUUUCUACUGAUUAUUUACCGAGCAUAUUCAUACUUUUAUGAUUUUUUAGGUUUUUGUGACUGCUAUUGCUUUUCAUUUAGUUUUUGUGGCUGCUACUGCUUUUCAUUUAGAUUUAUGGUUUAUACAACGGGGGCAUUUGCGUAA